AUUGAACGCUGGCGGCAUGCUUUACACAUGCAAGUCGAACGGUAACAGGCCGCAAGGUGCUGACGAGCGGCGAACGGUGGAGUAAUGCAUCGGAACGUGCCCAGUCCUGGGGGAUAACUACUCGUAAGAGUAGCUAAUACCGCAUACGAUCUAUGGAUGAAAACGGGGGACCGCAAGGCCUCUCGCGAUUGGAGCGGCCGAUGUCAGAUUAGGUAGUUGGUGGGGUAAAGGCUCACCAAGCCAACGAUCUGUAGCUGGUCUGAGAGGACGACCAGCCACACUGGAACUGAGACACGGCCCAGACUCCUACGGGAGGCAGCAGUGGGGAAUUUUGGACAAUGGGCGCAAGCCUGAUCCAGCAAUGCCGCGUGCAGGAAGAAGGCCUUCGGGUUGUAAAGUGCUUUUGUACGGAAAGAAACGGAUCUGGUUAAUACCCGGGGCUAAUGACGGUACCGAAAGAAUAAGCACCGGCUAACUACGUG
Molecule: ribosomal RNA, 482 nt
Filed under: uncultured bacterium
Lineage: Bacteria
Description: partial 16S ribosomal RNA
Rfam family: Bacterial small subunit ribosomal RNA
Source: RNAcentral